RNAcentral lists this ribosomal RNA (587 nucleotides) under Planiliza macrolepis (largescale mullet). RNAcentral's name for it is "partial 16S ribosomal RNA". It matches the Rfam family "Bacterial large subunit ribosomal RNA", at positions 1813 to 2606 of the family's 2925-position model. Lineage: Eukaryota; Metazoa; Chordata; Actinopteri; Mugiliformes; Mugilidae. The record is from RNAcentral.
ACAUCGCCUCUUGCUAACUACACAUAAGAGGUCCUGCCUGCCCUGUGACCCCUGGUUCAACGGCCGCGGUAUUUUGACCGUGCAAAGGUAGCGCAAUCACUUGUCUCUUAAAUGAGGACCUGUAUGAAUGGCACAACGAGGGCUUAACUGUCUCCUUUCCCCGGUCAAUGAAAUUGAUCUUCCCGUGCAGAAGCGGGAAUCCUAACAUAAGACGAGAAGACCCUAUGGAGCUUUAGACAUCAGAACAGACCAUGUAAGCUACCUCCAUGAAAUAGGUAAUAACUAUUGAAUCUCUGUUCCCCUGUCUUCGGUUGGGGCGACUACGGGGAAUAAAAAAACCCCCACGUGGACCAGGAGCACAUUACUCCUACAACCAUGAGCCACAGCUCUAAUGCACAAAACAUUUGACCAUUAGAUCCGGCAAAGCCGAUCAACGGACCAAGUUACCCUAGGGAUAACAGCGCAAUCCCCUUUAAGAGUUCAUAUCGACAAGGGGGUUUACGACCUCGAUGUUGGAUCAAGACAUCCUAAUGGUGCAGCCGCUAUUAAGGGUUCGUUUGUUCAACGAUUAAAGUCUUACGUGAUCU